AUGAAAUAAAUUUCAUUCAAAUGACUUCAAAAGACAAUAAAAUUUGCCAAGAAAAAUAAACGUCUCCCGCGUCGCGGGAAAUGUUAAACGAUGGCGACGUCUGGAGUUGACCAAGCAGACGAAAUUGAACAUUUGGGUUAUGAAUAUCAGGAGAAUGAGGUUUUAGGUUCUCAGAAAGAAGCAGGUACUAUUCGAGCUGUUGAUAAAGAGUCUGUGCAUCGAAUCUGCUCAGGCCAAGUUGUUCUUUCGCUGGCCACUGCCGUGAAAGAGCUAGUAGAGAACAGUGUUGAUGCUGCAGCAACCUGCAUAGAAAUCAAACUAAAAGAAUAUGGAGCAGAGAGCAUUGAGGUCUCUGAUAAUGGUCUGGGUGUAGAAGAGAAAAAUUUUGAAGGCCUUACUUUAAAACAUCACACCUCAAAAUUGUCUGACUUUAGUGACUUGGUAAAUGUAACCACAUUUGGAUUCCGUGGCGAAGCUCUCAGUUCAUUGUGUGCCUUAAGUAAUGUGACCAUUAUAACUCGUCAUGACAGUGCAGAUGUGGGGACUAAGCUUGUUAUAGAUGGCAAUGGAAAGAUUGUCUCCAGAAGCCCCAUUCCACGGCAGAGGGGAACAACAGUAAUGGUGCAAAAUCUGUUCUAUUCAUUACCUGUACGGCAUCGAGAAUUUCAGCGAAAUUUGAAGAGAGAGUUUGGAAAGAUGAUGCAGGUGUUAAAUGCUUACUGCCUCAUCAAUACAACUGUUCGCAUAUCUUGCCACAAUCAGACAGGCAAAGGAAACAGGAUGACCAUGGUUUGUACCAAUGGAAAUCCAUCAGUUAAGGCCAACAUUGCAGAUGUGUUUGGGCCAAAGCAGCUGAUGAGUAUAAUGCCAUUUGAGCAACAUAACCCUACAGAAGACAUUUACACAGAAUUUGGCAUUAGACCUGACCGGUCCCAAACAUGUAACCUAAGAAUAGAAGGGUUUAUUUCUAAAUGUGAGCAUGGCCAGGGGAGAAGCAGUGCUGAUCGUCAAUAUGUCUUCAUCAACAAGAGACCCUGUGAUGCUCACAAGGUGUUGAGGGUAGUCAAUGAAGUGUAUCACAGCUACAACAGGCACCAGUACCCGUUUGUGGUCCUGCUCAUUUUCAUGUCUUCAGGGUCAGUGGACGUGAAUGUUACUCCAGACAAGCGUCAGAUCUUUGUAGAAGGAGAGCAAAUCCUGCUUGCCACAUUAAAGACAUCCUUGGUGCAAAUGUAUGAGCCCACCACAUCUGUAUUACCUGUGACAGUUAUUCCUCAUGUUGUGCCAGGCAGUUCUCUGAGUAGCCCAAAAGAUAUGACUGACUCAUCUCCUGCAGCCUUUUCACAGAGCCCACCAAGUCCUAGAUUGCUGACUCCAGGAAGUACCAGUAUCUCACUUUCAUUAGCAAGGCUCAAGAGAUCCUUCUCCAGUACUUUUGACAAGAACAGCAGUACACCAUUACAAAGUUUUCAUCAUAGUAAACAAAGGAAAGUUAAUAUACAUGUGGCAAAGAGUUUCAGUCUACCGACUGGAAAUAUUACAGAGAGAUCGCCUAAUAAAGGAGCCAUCACCAUGCUUUUUCCUCAGUCUCCAGGGUCCCAGAGAACCAUUUACAAAGAGCCAGAAAUGUCUCCUGCAGUGGUGGAUUGUGAUGUAGAUGUAUAUGACUGUGAUUCUGAUUCAACUACAUCAAGUUUUUCUAAAUCAUGUAGUGGGAUGGUGUCCAUCUUCUCACCUCUGGUAUCAGAUAAUGUGACAGAAUCUUCAGUGGCAGAGGAACAUCAACUGCUCAGCAGCCUUUCUAAAACAGUAGACUUUGAAGAAGUGACGUCAGCACAAGAUUCUGUUAAUGGAUUUCAAGUUUCUGACCCCUUAGACAAGACAGCAUCAAAACUGACAACAUUUCAGAAGUUAGCUGACAAAGGUGAUGAGCCUGAUGGUCUGUCGUGUGUGGCAUAUGUUUCAAAAGAAAGUCCAUCUUUGCAUCAUCUGGAACCUGAAGACUUGCAAGCUGGCGAAGAGACAUGUGUUAGUAUAUCCAGCCAGAAUCACUCUGUCAUGAAUGUUAUUGAUAAGGAAAGAAGUACAACGAUCCAUGAGAAGGAUGAACGGCAAGAAGACAGAACAAAUGAGAUCUGUCAAUCAGAGCAAGACAGCUGUGCAAGAACAGGUCACACAUAUGAUUAUGAGAUUGCUGAAGACAGAAAUGUGCGAACUGAAGACCUCAGGUUCUCAUUUCAGAAAUUAAAGGAGUGUCUGCAAGUGAUACAAAAAGAAAAGGCGUUGCAAAACAAGACCAGCUGUGUCCGCUCCUUCCGGGCAAAGAUCUGUCCAAGUCAGAACCAGGCAGCAGAAGAGGAGUUGCAAAAACAAAUUAGCAAAUCCAUGUUUUCUGAGAUGGAAGUUUUGGGGCAGUUCAACCUUGGUUUUAUUAUAGCAAGAAGUGGACGUGACUUGUUUAUUGUAGAUCAGCAUGCGACUGAUGAAAAAUACAACUUUGAGAUGCUCCAGCAAAACACUGUCUUACAAAGCCAACUGUUGAUACAUCCACAGAGUCUGGAAUUAACAGCAGCCAAUGAAAUCAUUUUACUUGAUAACCUACAUAUCUUCCAGAAAAAUGGCUUUGAAUUUCAUAUUGAUGAAACAGCACCUCCUACUCAGAGAGUCAAGCUAAAAUCUACACCCAUCAGUAAAAAUUGGAAAUUUGGCAAAGAAGGUAGCAUUUAAUAUUAAGUAUAUGUCAUUGUUCACAGGUGAAUGAGACUAAUACAUCAUACAAUUGGUUUUCAUAAUAGCAGCAUUAAGAUCAAGCUACUCUUAACAAUCUUAUGAUUAAUGUGAGACCUAUUUUAUUGUCAAGCUGCAUUUGUUUUGCCAUUCCCUUAUGCUUUGUUAUGUGGCACUGGUUAGAAUCAUUUUGGUUUGAAAGUUGUGAUAAACUGUGUCUUUAUUUGACUAAAGUAGAGGAGGAAAUAUUGAUGUCAGCUUUGGACAUUGUUUCUAAUUGAAUGCUACUCAAAAAGUGACUUUUCAAAAAUUGUUUUGGAUUUGAAAUAUCUUUUAACUGAAAAAGCAUGUCUUCCUCAUCGUUUUAAUACAUAAAGUAUGAAUACUUGAUGUGCUGGAACAGAGUUUUCUUUUCUAGGAAUAUUGAUUUUUCCAUCAGGCUUUUUCGAUGAUUUUUUCCCGACUCAAAAGGCAAACUUUACAUCAUGUAAUUGCUUAAGUGUACCAUAACUAAUACAUUAAUUAUGUGUUUAAAAAUAGAAUAUUGUGCAAUUCACACCACACACAAAUGUGUCAAUAUUAAAUUUUAAAAUAACUUCUAUUCUUAUCUGGCUGAUUUUGAUGAACUUGAUAUCAGUAAUUAUAACAUUUAAGAUCUUGUUAAUCUAUAAAAUUCUGCCAGGUUAUAAGAGGAAAAAAUUCGCCUGAUACAAUAGCAGGGAGUCAUUGUUAGUAGUUACUUUACAUCUUAUAAUGCUGUGUUUUCAUUGUCUCAUCUGCAACCAGAUGGUGAGGUGAGUAGCCGAUGUGUGUGGUAUGUGAGUGGUUUACUAUCACUUCAUUUCAAACAUUGAAAGACCCAAACUUAUGUAAGUGGAAUACAAGAUGAAGGUCAAAUGGUAUGUGACAGUUUAAGGUGCUGUGUCACUGUGGAAAUAUCCUGUGGCAGUUUCUGAUCAGUGUUGGACAAAGAGGGCUAUGAAAACAUCAAAAGAUUUGACCAUGGACAUGACAGUUCAAGAUAUAAAUAUCGAAGAACUGAUUUUUAUGCUGACAGACUCUUCAGGCAUCAUAUGUCGACCAUCUCGUGUGCGUUUGAUGUUUGCCUCAAGAGCUUGCAGAAAGUCUAUCAUGAUAGGAACAGCCUUGAGCAAAGUGGAG
RNAcentral lists this unclassified non-coding RNA (3888 nucleotides) under Pomacea canaliculata. RNAcentral's name for it is "mismatch repair endonuclease PMS2-like, transcript variant X1". Lineage: Eukaryota; Metazoa; Mollusca; Gastropoda; Architaenioglossa; Ampullariidae. The record is from RNAcentral.